Molecule: ribosomal RNA, 440 nt
Filed under: uncultured bacterium
Lineage: Bacteria
Description: partial 16S ribosomal RNA
Rfam family: Bacterial small subunit ribosomal RNA
Source: RNAcentral
CCUACGGGAGGCAGCAGUGGGGAAUAUUGCACAAUGGGGGAAACCCUGAUGCAGCGACGCCACGUGAGUGAAGAAGUAUUUCGGUAUGUAAAGCUCUAUCAGCAGGGAAGAGAAUGACGGUACCUGAGUAAGAAGCCCCGGCUAACUACGUGCCAGCAGCCGCGGUAAUACGUAGGGGGCAAGCGUUAUCCGGAUUUACUGGGUGUAAAGGGAGCGUAGACGGCGAAGAAAGUCUGAAGUGAAAGCCCGCGGCUCAACCGCGGAACUGCUUUGGAAACUUUUUUGCUGGAGUACCGGAGAGGUAAGUGGAAUUCCUAGUGUAGCGGUGAAAUGCGUAGAUAUUAGGAGGAAAACCAGUGGCGAAGGCGGCUUACUGGACGGUAACUGACGUUGAGGCUCGAAAGCGUGGGGAGCAAACAGGAUUAGAUACCCCUGUAGUC